This 490-nucleotide ribosomal RNA is filed under the name uncultured bacterium. RNAcentral's name for it is "partial 16S ribosomal RNA". It matches the Rfam family "Bacterial small subunit ribosomal RNA", at positions 30 to 507 of the family's 1533-position model. The record is from RNAcentral.
AUUGAACGCUGGCGGCAGGCCUAACACAUGCAAGUCGAAUGGUAACAGGAAACAGCUUGCUGUUUCGCUGACGAGUGGCGGACGGGUGAGUAAUGUCUGGGAAACUGCCUGAUGGAGGGGGAUAACUACUGGAAACGGUAGCUAAUACCGCAUAACGUCGCAAGACCAAAGAGGGGGACCUUCGGGCCUCUUGCCAUCAGAUGUGCCCAGAUGGGAUUAGCUAGUAGGUGGGGUAACGGCCCACCUAGGCGACGAUCCCUAGCUGGUCUGAGAGGGUGACCAGCCACACUGGAACUGAGACACGGUCCAGACUCCUACGGGAGGCAGCAGUGGGGAAUAUUGCACAAUGGGCGCAAGCCUGAUGCAGCCAUGCCGCGUGUAUGAAGAAGGCCUUCGGGUUGUAAAGUACUUUCAGCGGGGAGGAAGGGAGUAAAGUUAAUACCUUUGCUCAUUGACGUUACCCGCAGAAGAAGCACCGGCUAACUCCGUG